Molecule: ribosomal RNA, 1014 nt
Filed under: uncultured bacterium
Lineage: Bacteria
Description: bacterial SSU rRNA
Rfam family: Bacterial small subunit ribosomal RNA
Source: RNAcentral
AGAGUUUGAUCCUGGCUCAGAGUGAUCGCUGGCGGCGUGCUUAACACAUGCAAGUCGAGCGGAUCUUUGCAGCGUAUCGCAAAGGUUAGCGGCAGACGGGUGAGUAAUACUUGGGCAAUCUGCCCUUGAGUGGGAAACAACCGGCCGAAAGGCUGGCUAAUGUCCCAUAAGACCACAGGGAUGCAUAUUCCAGGGGUCAAAGCUCCGCAAGGGGCGCUUGAGGAGGAGCCCGAGUCCUAUCAUGGUUGUUGGUGAGGUAAAAGCUUACCAAGCCUUUGACGGGUAGCCGGCCUGAAAGGGUGACCGGCCACACUGGCACUGAGACACGGGCCAGACUCCUACGGGAGGCAGCAGUGGGGAAUUUUGGACAAUGGGGGCAACCCUGAUCCAGCGACGCCGCGUGGAGGACGAAGGUCUUCGGAUUGUAAACUCCUUUUGAUGGGGAUGAAUGACCUGGUGAAUAGCCAGGAGUGACAGUACCCGUUGAAUAAGCCACGGCUAACUACGUGCCAGCAGCCGCGGUAAUACGUAGGUGGCAAGCGAUACUCGGAAUCACUAGGCGUAAAGCGCAGGUAGGCGGUUCGGUAAGUCUUUUGUGAAAGCUCCCGGCUUAACUGGGAGAGGUCAAGGGAAACUACCGGGCUAGAGAGUGGCAGAGGAAGCUGGAAUUCCCGGUGUAGCGGUGAAAUGCGUAGAUAUCGGGAGGAACACCUAUGGCGAAAGCAGGCUUCUGGGCCAUCUCUGACGCUGAGCUGCGAAAGCUAGGGGAGCAAACAGGAUUAGAUACCCUGGUAGUCCUAGCCCUAAACGAUGCUCAUUAGGUGUGGAAGGUAUCGACCCCUCCCGCGCCGAAGCUAACGCAUUAAAUGAGCCGCCUGGGGAGUACGGCCGCAAGGUUGAAACUCAAGGAAUUGACGGGGGCCCGCACAAGCGGUGGAGCAUGUGGUUUAAUUCGACGCAACGCGAAGAACCUUACCUGGCUUGAACUACUCGCGGUAGUUCGCUGGAAACAGU